This 204-nucleotide ribosomal RNA is filed under the name Triticum aestivum (bread wheat). Its description in RNAcentral is "partial small subunit ribosomal RNA". The record is from RNAcentral. Lineage: Eukaryota; Viridiplantae; Streptophyta; Magnoliopsida; Poales; Poaceae.
AUGUACCCUGUAGCUUGGGCAGUUGUUGAAAAGGAGACUACGGAAACAUGGAAAUUGUUCAUUGGGCUGCUAAUCAAGGAUCUAGAUAUAAAUGAUCAAGGAGCUAGGUGGGUUUUCAUAUCUGACCAGCAGAAGGUAAACAUUGUUGUUGUAUGUUUUGUUUUUUGCUACUCCUACAAUUGUUAUAUUUGUUAUGUGCUGUAA